This 725-nucleotide long non-coding RNA is filed under the name Phoenix dactylifera (date palm). RNAcentral describes it as "long non-coding RNA (PDAC_LNC018911)". Lineage: Eukaryota; Viridiplantae; Streptophyta; Magnoliopsida; Arecales; Arecaceae. The record is from RNAcentral.
UUUAGGGAACGGGGGAGUUGAAUCAAUUAAAGUUCCCUAUAUUAUAAAUGGCACGUAGAUUAUAGCCCUUGAUACAGGACUAAAUGUAUUAUAAAUGCAUGUCACAGUUGGGCAAGAAGUUAGGGAGCAAGAAGAAGAAGCCCCUACUGCCUACCAUAAAGUUUUGGAGGCGUAUCAGGGCUGUGUCAGAUUGACAGGUGAGUGGGAGUUUGUACUUUGCACCAUGAGCACAUUCCUUAUUCAUUUUCAUGAAUGUUGCCAAGUGUGACUUGAUUCCACUUGAGCAUAUUGAUUGAUAUUGUAGUAGAUUCCUCUAUAAUCUUGAUUCUCCAUGCUUGAUUAUUCUGUACAUGCAUUUGAGGGAACAUUGAGAGGAAUUACGAGGGGUUGAUGAGUAAUCAAAUUGAUUCCGAAUUGUGAAAUGAUUUCUUUUGUAAAUUGAUUUCAUUUCCUCUAUUUUAAAGACUUGUGAGUCGUAGCUUGAUUAUACUCUUUUAUGAGUAAUUAAAUUGAUUCCAAAUUGUGAAAUAACUUCUUUUGUAAAUUGAUUUCAUUUCCUCCAUUUCAAAGAUUUGUAGAGCCUUUUUAGUGGUAUAUUGAGUUGUAUUGCACUUCCUUGACCCUCACUCCUAACCCUGAUGUUAGUUUAUGAUUGGGUCAUGAUCGAGUGAGUGGUAAUCUUGAUCAUACUCCUUUUUAGUAGAGUAUUGGGAGGGUGCAUUAUG